CAGUAGCCGCGGUAAUACGGAGGGGGCUAGCGUUGUUCGGAAUUACUGGGCGUAAAGCGCACGUAGGCUGCUUUGUAAGUCAGAGGUGAAAGCCCGGGGCUCAACCCCGGAUGUGCCUUUGAGACUGCAGGGCUAGAACGUCGGAGAGGUGAGUGGAAUUCCGAGUGUAGAGGUGAAAUUCGUAGAUAUUCGGAAGAACACCAGUGGCGAAGGCGGCUCACUGGACGACUGUUGACGCUGAGGUGCGAAAGCGUGGGGAGCAAACAGGAUUAGAUACCCGCGUAGUCCCUGUCUCUUAUAC
RNAcentral lists this ribosomal RNA (301 nucleotides) under uncultured bacterium. Its description in RNAcentral is "partial 16S ribosomal RNA". It matches the Rfam family "Bacterial small subunit ribosomal RNA", at positions 509 to 807 of the family's 1533-position model. The record is from RNAcentral.